CCUACGGGAGGCAGCAGUCGAGAAUCAUUCACAAUGGGGGAAACCCUGAUGGUGCGACGCCGCGUGGGGGAAUGAAGGUCUUCGGAUUGUAAACCCCUGUCAUGUGGGAGCAAAUUAAAAAGAUAGUACCACAAGAGGAAGAGACGGCUAACUCUGUGCCAGCAGCCGCGGUAAUACAGAGGUCUCAAGCGUUGUUCGGAAUCACUGGGCGGAAAGCGUGCGUAGGCUGUUUCGUAAGUCGUGUGUGAAAGGCGCGGGCUCAACCCGCGGACGGCACAUGAUACUGCGAGACUAGAGUAAUGGAGGGGGAACCGGAAUUCUCGGUGUAGCAGUGAAAUGCGUAGAUAUCGAGAGGAACACUCGUGGCGAAGGCGGGUUCCUGGACAUUAACUGACGCUGAGGCACGAAGGCCAGGGGAGCGAAAGGGAUUAGAUACCCUGGUAGUC
Molecule: ribosomal RNA, 446 nt
Filed under: uncultured bacterium
Lineage: Bacteria
Description: partial 16S ribosomal RNA
Rfam family: Bacterial small subunit ribosomal RNA
Source: RNAcentral